AACGAACGCUGGCGGCAUGCCUAACACAUGCAAGUCGAACGAGACCUUCGGGUCUAGUGGCGCACGGGUGCGUAACGCGUGGGAAUCUGCCCUUGGGUUCGGAAUAACAGUGAGAAAUUACUGCUAAUACCGGAUGAUGUCUUCGGACCAAAGAUUUAUCGCCCAGGGAUGAGCCCGCGUAGGAUUAGCUAGUUGGUGGGGUAAUGGCCUACCAAGGCGCCGAUCCUUAGCUGGUCUGAGAGGAUGAUCAGCCACACUGGGACUGAGACACGGCCCAGACUCCUACGGGAGGCAGCAGUGGGGAAUAGUGGAAAAUGGGCGCAAGCCUGAUCCAGCAAUGCCGGGUGAGUGAUGAAGGCCUUAGGGUUGUAAAGCUCUUUUACCCGGGAUGAUAAUGACAGUACCGGGAGAAUAAGCUCCGGCUAACUCCGUG
RNAcentral lists this ribosomal RNA (433 nucleotides) under uncultured bacterium. RNAcentral's name for it is "partial 16S ribosomal RNA". It matches the Rfam family "Bacterial small subunit ribosomal RNA", at positions 29 to 507 of the family's 1533-position model. The record is from RNAcentral.